Molecule: ribosomal RNA, 229 nt
Filed under: uncultured bacterium
Lineage: Bacteria
Description: partial 16S ribosomal RNA
Rfam family: Bacterial small subunit ribosomal RNA
Source: RNAcentral
CGCGUAGGCGGUCUCUUAAGUCAGAUGUGAAAGCCCGGGGCUUAACCUCGGAAGUGCAUUUGAAACUAAGGGACUUGAGUAUGGGAGAGGGAAGUGGAAUUCCUGGUGUAGCGGUGAAAUGCGUAGAUAUCAGGAGGAACACCGGUGGCGAAGGCGACUUCCCGGACCAAUACUGACGCUGAGGCGCGAAGGCGUGGGGAGCAAACAGGAUUAGAUACCCUGGUAGUCC